GCCCUACUCAAAGUUGGUGAUUGCACUGUGGCUGCAGUACCGUACCCCUCGCCAACUACUCGGGCAAAUACACAGAGGGGGAAGAAAUGCUUGAAGAAUUUACAAACUCAGCUCAGCUGAUGCAGCUAAAUGGGACUCAAAUUCCUGCUUCCCCGGCUCCGUGGUUGACAGAAUAGCCGACUGCAUGAGCUUGCAUUUGUCACCUGAGUCUUUUGGACUCAUCACGUCUCAUGUCUCUGGGUAAAUUAAAAUUAAAUGUGAUGAUU
This is a long non-coding RNA of Mus musculus (house mouse), 266 nucleotides long. RefSeq annotates it as predicted gene, 51462. The transcript has 2 exons. The record is from RefSeq and is a predicted model, not a curated record. Lineage: Eukaryota; Metazoa; Chordata; Mammalia; Rodentia; Muridae.